GGUAGGGCGGUAAGAAUUUGCAUAAGAACCCCUUCUUGGGUCGGUUCAACCUCAUCUGGACAGUUUGUCCCCUCCAUUGCCGAGCUCAUCCUCAUCACCAAAAUUCCUCGCUGUCACUCGCUCCCUCUUCAAUUCCUUCUAUACACACCGUCAGCAGCAAGCCCUCAAUCCACGUGUGAACCCUCAAUCCAUUUAAUCACCGCUGCUGCGUCAUUUGUCCCGUCUUCUUCUACCUUUCGCCGCCGCUCAGGAACAAACAGACUGCCGAGUCUGAAGUCGACGUCAUCUAAGUCAAGCUCAUCAAGUCACCGUACGAGGAUUCUGAAGAGGAGAUAGGAAGUUGAUCAAGAUAAAGAUUGUACAAUAACUCUAAGUUUAAGUAUCACCUUCCGAAUCGGAACAAGUAGCGCCGCCGGAAAAGAUACAAGAGUGAAGCACCAAGACUCAGAGUGUAUGUUGAGUUCAUACACCUCCGGAUAUUUUAUAAACUCUUAUGAGAUAAGGCCUACAAGUUAACCAAUUCUACGGCUGUAGGAUAUACAUGUUUGAAACUAUGUAGAACUGUUUUGCACUAAGGUUUGUGCUU
Panicum virgatum (switchgrass) is the source of this 586-nucleotide long non-coding RNA. RefSeq lists it as uncharacterized. The transcript is spliced from 3 exons. Lineage: Eukaryota; Viridiplantae; Streptophyta; Magnoliopsida; Poales; Poaceae. The record is from RefSeq and is a predicted model, not a curated record.